AUCAACUUUCGAUGGUAGGAUAGAGGCCUACCAUGGUGGUAACGGGUAACGGGGUGUUAGGGCACGACACCGGAGAGGGAGCCUGAGAAACGGCUACCACAUCCAAGGAUGGCAGCAGGCGCGCAAAUUACCCAAUCCCGACACGGGGAGGUAGUGACAAUAAAUAACAAUACGGGGUUCUAUAGGAUUUCGUAAUUGGAAUGAGUACAAUUUAAAUCUCUUAACGAGGAACAAUUGGAGGGCAAGUCUGGUGCCAGCAGCCGCGGUAAUUCCAGCUCCAAUAGCGUAUAUUAAAGUUGUUGCAGUUAAAAAGCUCGUAGUUGAAUUUCGGGAUCAUCAGGUUGGUCGUGCCUCUGGUAUGUACUGAUUUCGAUGGUCCCUCCUUCUUGAAGAGCCGUAAUGCCAUUAAUUUGGUGUUGCGGGGAAUCAGGACUGUUACUUUGAAAAAAUUAGAGUGUUUAAAGCAGGCAAUCGCUUGAAUACAUUAGCAUGGAAUAAUGAAAUAGGACGUUCGAUCCUAUUUUGUUGGUUUCUAGGAUUGACGUAAUGAUUAAUAGGGAUAGUUGGGGGCAUUAGUAUUCAAUUGUCAGAGGUGAAAUUCUUGGAUUUAUUGAAGACUAACUACUGCGAAAGCAUUUGCCAAGGAUGUUUUCAUUAAUCAAGAACGAAAGUUAGGGGAUCGAAGACGAUCAGAUACCGUCGUAGUCUUAACCAUAAACUAUGCCGACUAGGGAUCGGAUGAUGUUAAUUUUUUAAUGACUCAUUCGGGGCCUUACGGGAAACCAAAGGGUUUGGGUU
Molecule: ribosomal RNA, 798 nt
Filed under: Glomeromycotina sp.
Lineage: Eukaryota; Fungi; Glomeromycota
Description: SSU rRNA
Rfam family: Eukaryotic small subunit ribosomal RNA
Source: RNAcentral